AAACUGCGAAUGGCUCAUUAAAUCAGUUAUCGUCUAUUUGAUAGUACCUUACUACUUGGAUAACCGUGGUAAUUCUAGAGCUAAUACAUGCUGAAAACCCCGACUUCGGAAGGGAUGUAUUUAUUAGAUUAAAAACCAAUGCCCUCCGGGGCUCCCUGGUGAUUCAUAAUAACUGCUCGAAUCGCACGGCCUUGCGCCGGCGAUGGUUCAUUCAAAUUUCUGCCCUAUCAACUUUCGACGGCUGGGUCUUGGCCAGCCAUGGUGACAACGGGUAACGGAGGGUUAGGGCUCGACCCCGGAGAAGGAGCCUGAGAAACGGCUACUACAUCCAAGGAAGGCAGCAGGCGCGCAAAUUACCCAAUCCCGACGCGGGGAGGUAGUGACAAUAAAUACUGAUACAGGGCUCUUUUGGGUCUUGUAAUUGGAAUGAGUACAAUUUAAUUCCCUUAACGAGGAACAAUUGGAGGGCAAGUCUGGUGCCAGCAGCCGCGGUAAUUCCAGCUCCAAUAGCGUAUAUUAAAGUUGUUGCAGUUAAAAAGCUCGUAGUUGAACCUUGGGCCUGGCUGGCCGGUCCGCCUCACCGCGUGCACUGGUCCGGCCGGGCCUUUCCCUCUGGGGAGCCGCAUGCCCUUCACUGGGCGUGCCGGGGAACCAGGACGUUUACUUUGAAAAAAUUAGAGUGUUCAAAGCAGGCUUAUGCUCGGAUACAUUAGCAUGGAAUAAUAGAAUAGGACGCGCGGUUCUAUUUUGUUGGUUUCUAGGACCGCCGUAAUGAUUAAUAGGGACAGUCGGGGGCAUCAGUAUUCAAUUGUCAGAGGUGAAAUUCUUGGAUCUAUUGAAGACUAACUACUGCGAAAGCAUUUGCCAAGGAUGUUUUCAUUAAUCAGGAACGAAAGUUAGGGGAUCGAAGACGAUCAGAUACCGUCGUAGUCUUAACCAUAAACUAUGCCGACUAGGGAUCGGACGGUGUUAUUUUUUGACCCGUUCGGCACCUUACACGAAAGUACAAGUUUCUGGGUUC
RNAcentral lists this ribosomal RNA (1021 nucleotides) under Fragosphaeria purpurea. Its description in RNAcentral is "SSU rRNA". It matches the Rfam family "Eukaryotic small subunit ribosomal RNA", at positions 84 to 1114 of the family's 1831-position model. Lineage: Eukaryota; Fungi; Ascomycota; Sordariomycetes; Ophiostomatales; Ophiostomataceae. The record is from RNAcentral.